This 4865-nucleotide long non-coding RNA is filed under the name Ananas comosus (pineapple). RNAcentral's name for it is "long non-coding RNA (ACOM_LNC009983)". Lineage: Eukaryota; Viridiplantae; Streptophyta; Magnoliopsida; Poales; Bromeliaceae. The record is from RNAcentral.
UUCGUGAGAUUUGAUUAUGCUCACAUUGCCUGUCUGCGCUUGUUGGGGUCGCUCCCCUCAAGCUGUGCACUCCGGAGUUUUGUCACUAGAGGGGCAGCCGCUUGCUGCCCGGAUAGCCGCUAGCUGUCCGCAGGCGGUCUCGGGGGAUAGUUCAGUGAGACUUUUUCCUAUGAGACUUACACGUGAGAUGUUGUAGUGAACCCCGAGUUCACAAGAGAUUUGGUUACCUAUUGAGUCAUACUCAUUAUUGUUGUUCAUGAUAGCUAGUUUACAUCGCUUAUUGUUGUUCAUAGUAGCUUUACUUAUUGUUCAUGCAUGCAUGUUAUCAGAUUGAGGCAUAGCUAGAUGUACCUACUCUACUUACCUGCUUUCGUUCCCGCAUAGCUUUAUAUAUAUUGUAUACAUAUCUCUCUAUGCCUGCUUAGACCUAGUGGGUAGAUCGGUGGAGUCGGCGGCCGAACCCACUGGGAACUAAGGAAGUUAGUUCUCACACCCCACAUUACAGGUACUAGUUCGAGUGUCCCGACCGAGCGGGAGGAUCGCGGCAAGGGCAUAGCGCCCUAGCGGUAUCAGUUGAUAGUUUUACCUUUCCUACUUGCAUUAGCCCUAUACCCUGUACUUUUGUUUAUAUCUUGAGAGUAGAUCUUGUAUAGGGUGAGGUUUGAGAGCAUAUGAUGUAUUUAUAUUUUGGAGAAAAAGAAUGCAAGUUGUAUUAAAUGGGUAAAGUUUAAUGAUGUUAAAAGAGGUUAAUGUAUCAAAGUUCUAUGUUUAAAUAGUUAAGUUUAUCUCUCUUUUGUAUACUUGUAUGGAAUUCACUCGUAUCGCUUGCUCUUUGGUUGUUUAGCACUGUUUGUGCUUCUUCGUUGUUGUUGUAUAGAUCGUGUAUGAUUACAAGUGAUUCCUGGGUACUUGUGUACAUGAUCUCAUUGUUGAGCCUAGGGCGGACAGGGGAGACUCUGUCCGUUCGGCCUCACGCCCGCCGCGCCCGAACCGCGCCAAAUUAGUAGCGGUCUCGGGGCGGGGCGUGCAAGGGACGAUUUGAGGUGGGUUAUCCGCGGGGAAAGUUGAGUCCAGUUACUUCAUUAUUGCUUUUUCAUAGUAGCUUAUAUUGGCUCAGCAUUUAAACUUAUUGUUUUCAUGCAAUGCCAUGUUUUAUCGGAUUAUGUGAGGCGCAUAAGCUAUGAUUGUACCUACUUAAAAAAAAAAACUUAACCGCUUGUGUGGCUGUUUUCAGUCAGGGUUCCCCGAUGUAGGCCCUUAUAAUUAAUAAUCUUGUAAUAAAAAAUCCUUUUUUUUCUUCUAAUUUGCCGCUAUUUUGGGGCUUGACCUAGUGUAGAUCGUGAGUCGGCGGGAGUCGUUGCUAGUACAAAAGGAAGCGAACCACUCGCGAACUAAAGCGAAGUUUAGUUCUCAGACAAUCGCCUAAUUACAAGGUAGGUUCGAGUCAUUCCCCACGCGAGCGGUACGAGGAUCGCCGGCACGCGGCAUAGCGCGUUCUAGCCGGUACUCUAUCUGAUCGGUUGGAUAGUCUGGCUUCCUAUAUUGCAAGUAUUUCCCUACUUGUUACAUUUUGAGAGGGAUUGGUGGUUAGAUUAGAAGGUGAGGUGUAGGAGCCAUCUUUUGAGGUAUUAUAUUUUGGAGAGAAAACAGAAUGCAAGUUGUUUACGAUCUUAAAGUUUAAUGAAAUUGAAAGCUUAAACAAUUUCAAGUUAUGGUUUAAAUAGUUUUAGUUCUCUUUUUUGUAUACUGUAUGGUAUUCAGUCGUAUCGCUUAGCUCUUUGUGUUGGCUCUGAUAAUUUUUGUUGAGCGGCAGCGCUCAAAAACUGUUCUGUCGCUUUACUUCGUCUGGUUGUUGUACCUUAGAUCGUGUAUGGUUACAAAGUCAUUUCCGGUUUCGCCCUAUAAAACUGGAUAUUCAAAAAAGAAUUCAGUGUCUACUUGCUUGUUAACGAUGGAUCUCCGGCUGGUGAGGGUCAGGGGGAAUUUGCGGGUGUGCACAACGUUUUCCACGUCUCCAAUCUUCGCAAAUACAUGCAUGAUCCCGAGCAUGUUCUAGUAUAUGAGCCGCCGGAGCUUCAAGAAGAUAUGAGCUAUGAAGAGUUUCCGGUGAUGAUUUUGGCUCGAGAAGUGCGAAAGCUGCGGAAUCGCGAGAUCCCCUAUGUCAAGGUCCGGUGGAGCAAUCAUGACGAUCGCGAAGCCACCUGGGAGCUUGAGAAUCAAAUGAAGGCAAAUCACCCUCACCUAUUUGAGGAUUGAGCGAGGUAUGAUUUAAGAUUCGAAGUUUAAUUUUUUAUUAAAUUGAGUUCGUUUCGAGGACGAAACUCCUUUUAAGGAGAGGAGAAUGUAGGAUACCGAACUUCUGAAAAUAAGAAGUUACGGUAGGAUAUAGUAUAUCGGAAUUUAUUAUAAAAGUAAAUAUAAAUAAAAAUAGUGUGGAAAACUAUUUUUAUUGGCCUUAUGGAAGUAAAGUAAAAGUUGAAAGUGACCUGUGCUGAAAUCGGAGCGAAAACAGGAGAUUUAGAAUUUUCUGUGAGAAACGGGGCAGAUAGAUUAGCAGAAAAUGCACAGUGUCAGAAAAUUAUGAAAACUGGAGGAUGGGUCAGAAUUAUUUUUAUGAGGCUGGAAUUAAAGUUUCAGCCCAUUCUGACAUCCGGAAGGUGGAGAAUAAAAUCAAACUGCUAUCUGCUAAAGAUUACAGUUCGGCACGGCUUUCGGUGACCAAACGGGGUCGAAACUGAAAACUUAAGAUAUAUUCUUACUCAGUACGUUAAACCGAGCCUGCCUGUCGAAUUUGAGCGCAAACGGACAUUCAGAAGGGCUCCGACUGUUCCGAACUGCGAAACUGCGAGUUGUAAUAGGUGUGAGAGGGGGUUUUGUGCAAUUGUUACAACACCACAAGUGGGCUGGUUGCAUACGUAUACACACACAUGCACAUACCUUCUCCCUCAUGUGUUCUCUCAUCCUCUCCCACUCUUACACUCUUUUCCCUCUCUCUCUCUAGAAAGAAAGAAAGAAAGAAGAAGGAAAGGAGAAGGAAAAGAAAGGAAAAAGAGAAGGAAGAAGGAAGGAGAAGAAGACCAAGAAGAGGAAGAUCAUCUUCUUCCUCCUCUCCCUCAACCUUGGAGAAGCUUUUGGAGGUAAGCUCCAAAACCCUAUAGUGGUGGAUUCCUUAAGAUAGGGUUUUAUGGUUUGGAAUUGGUUUGAAUGGAACCUAUUGAAGCUAAUUAGAUGGUUCUAGCUCGAAUUUGAAGCUUGAACCAUGGAAUUUCUCAUUGUUGAAACCUAAGUCACUUCAAAACCCUUUAAUGGUAGCUUCUAGUUUAUGAGUUUUUAAGCUCUAGAAAUGGAAUUUAAUGGUGAUUUAGAGAUUAUUAACCUCAUUUAUUGCAAGAUUCAUAGCUUGAUGUUGCUUUUUUGCAACAAUGAGGAAUUAGAGCUCCAAAUGAGAGCUUUAAUAGUAGAUCUCUAGGGCUUUGGUCUUAUGCUCUAGAAAUGGAAUUAGUAGCCUUCCAAGAUGCUAAUUAGAUGGAUUAUGCUUGGAUCCAAAGGUUGGAUGGUGGGUUUUUCUCUAAUUGCGACAUAGGGUUCCAAAAUAGGGUUUUUGCAAAUAUAGGGUUUUGAUCUCAUUUGAGUGGUCAGAAACCUAAUUGUUAUAUCUCCGAACGCGUAGGAAGCGACGGUUCGUCAAUUCGUUGAGCGGGUGCGACGUUCCGGCUGAAACAAGUGCUAAAAGGUCCGUUUUGGCCGAGGAGCCGAGGCGGCGUGCAAAGACCGCGGAGACAAGUUUUCUAACCUUGCGGCGUUACCAAAAGGUGGGUGGUGACCAUCCCGAAGCAGCCGGGAUACUUUCUAUGUCUAGGUUCUUAUAUAAUGAUCAAAUUGCAUCUUGCACAUAUUGCAUAUAGGGCUAAAUGAUUGAUGUUAUUGCUUAUACUUGCAUGCUAGUUGUAAUAUGAUAUGAUAAGAUGGUUUGGUUCAUGAUUCUAGUAUGCAUGAGAAUGAUAUGAUAGUUAACCCUAUAUGCGAUGAUUGAUGUUUAAGUAAAUAAAGAACCUAGUAUGAUAAAAACUAGUGUUGAUAACGAGUCAAAUUGACGAGUGGCAUCUAGUUGUAGACAACUAUGACGAGUGGCAUUUGAUUAUUGAUAACCUAUGAUAUGAGAACCUUAGUGUAAUCAGAAAUACUAUGAGAUUGGGUACAAAACCAUCUUGAUUCCAUGAUGUGAUUACCCUUAGAGGGUAGGAUACUAUUGUUCGUGAGAUUUGAUUAUGCUCACAUUGCCUGUCUGCGCUUGUUGGGGUCGCUCCCCUCAAGCUGUGCACUCCGGAGUUUUGUCACUAGAGGGGCAGCCGCUUGCUGCCCGGAUAGCCGCUAGCUGUCCGCAGGCGGUCUCGGGGGAUAGUUCAGUGAGACUUUUCCCUAUGAGACUUACACGUGAGAUGUUGUAGUGAACCCCGAGUUCACAAGAGAUUUGGUUACCUAUUGAGUCAUACUCAUUAUUGUUGUUCAUGAUAGUUGCUUACAUAGCCUUUAUUAUUGUUCAUGAUAGCUAGUUUACAUAGCUUACUUGCUCAGCUUUACUUAUUGUUCAUGCAUGCAUGUUAUCGGAUUGAGGCAUAGCUAGACGUACCUACUCUACUUACCUGCUUUCGUUCCCGCAUAGCUUUAUAUAUAUUGUAUAUAUAUCUCUCUAUGCCUGCUUAGACCUAGUGGGUAGAUCGGUGGAGUCGGCGGCCGAACCCACUGGGAACUAAGGAAGUUAGUUCUCACACCCCACAUUACAGGUACUAGUUCGAGUGUCCCGACCGAGCGGGAGGAUCGCGGCAAGGGCAUAGCGCCCUAGCGGUAUCAGUUGAUAGUUUUAC